GUGAGGAAUAUUGGUCAAUGGGCGGGAGCCUGAACCAGCCAAGUCGCGUGAAGGAAGAAGGAUCUAUGGUUCGUAAACUUCUUUUGCAGGGGAAUAAAGUGCAGGACGUGUCCUGUUUUGUAUGUACCCUGAGAAUAAGGAUCGGCUAACUCCGUGCCAGCAGCCGCGGUAAUACGGAGGAUCCGAGCGUUAUCCGGAUUUAUUGGGUUUAAAGGGUGCGUAGGUGGUUUGAUAAGUCAGCGGUGAAAGUUUGCAGCUUAACUGUAAAAAUGCCGUUGAAACUGUCGGACUUGAGUGUAAAUGAGGUAGGCGGAAUGCGUGGUGUAGCGGUGAAAUGCAUAGAUAUCACGCAGAACUCCGAUUGCGAAGGCAGCUUACUAAGCUACAACUGACACUGAAGCACGAAAGCGUGGGGAUCAAACAGGAUUAGAAACCCGGUAGUCC
This 444-nucleotide ribosomal RNA is filed under the name uncultured bacterium. RNAcentral's name for it is "partial 16S ribosomal RNA". It matches the Rfam family "Bacterial small subunit ribosomal RNA", at positions 354 to 796 of the family's 1533-position model. The record is from RNAcentral.